This 1555-nucleotide long non-coding RNA is filed under the name Homo sapiens (human). RNAcentral's name for it is "non-protein coding lnc-TNPO3-12:2". The record is from RNAcentral. Lineage: Eukaryota; Metazoa; Chordata; Mammalia; Primates; Hominidae.
UGGCCGGUGCUGAGGAACCCAGGCACCCAGCACCGUGACCCUUCUCACUCCCAGGCCUCCUGUGGUGGUCUUGAGGAAGGGGCUGUGCAGGUCCCUCUGGAGUGGUCUGCCUUGGCUGGGAGGAUGAGAAAGAUGGGGCAGGCUGUUGGCAGGCACACCUGACAGGUGCAUGGCUGGCUGAUUGAUGAACUGUGACAGCCUGAGGUUCAGACAGCGCCCUCAGGGCACCCCUAGCCAUGCACUGGGACUCCCUAAACUUCCUGGCUCUAGUCUAGGUGAACUGUGCAUGAGGGGCUGGGACAUGAGCUCCCAAUACUGGUCUUUCUUCCUCAGGCUCCUUACAAGAGCUCAACCCCACUACCAGGAGGAGUUUUGGGGUGCCAGGUAGCUCAGAGUGCAAGGUGAAAAGGUCAAGGGUCUCAGGUUGGGGAUGGCAGGGGUGGGUCUGCCUGGGAGGAGGCUGCUGGGGUGAGGAGGAGGCUCUUCAGUGAAGCACCUUCCACACUACAUAAAAUGGCUUUAACAAAUUCAGGAAUCAGGCAAAGGCUGGCCCCUGGGGUCUGCAGGUUCCCUCUCAAACCUGGGCCCAAAGUGCUUUUCCUUUCCAGGACCUGGCCCAGAGGGAAGAGAGGAGUGAGGCAGAGCCUGAGACCCAGAAAAGAAAGCUCACUCCCGGGACCCCUGGGCCGGGGGACCUGCCCUCCCAAAACCUGCCUUCCCAAGAUGCCCUUGAAGGGCUGGGCUCGGACCCGCACCUGGGCCAGGAGAGAGCAGAACUUCAAAGACCACCAAGGAUGGACACCCCUGAGUCUGAGAGGAGGACCCUCAGGAUCAGAAAGCGGAGACCCCUCAGCGUAAGAGAGCCGAGGCCUCCUGGGGCGAGAUCAAAGAUGCUCCUCAGAGUCAGAAGGUGAAGACACACGGGGGCCAGAGCCCAAGGGCUCCUCAGGGUCAGAGGGAGGAGUCGAAGAGAAUUUAGUCCUAAGUGCCAGGGAAAGGCGAGUCCCCAGAGUCCAGGGAAGAAGAUGCUGCGGUCUUGGGAAGGCAAUAUCUCACAAGCCUGGGAGGUGGCUCCCGGAGAGGCCACUGUGCAGCCCCCAGAGGAAGGCGACCCCCAUAGCCAUCCGAGGGACUCCUGCGGGUCCCUGAAAGCACAGACUCCAAAGCCUGUGGGCAGGGAGAGCCCAAACCUCCGGAGAAGGACUACCACGCUGACGCAGAGCAUGAUCAAAGGCGAGCCACAAAGGUCCUGGAACGCCUCCACAUCGCCAGGAACCGCCACUGCCGGGUUCACCCCGUGGGGCUCCCGCCCAGUCCGGCUCAACUCCCGCCACAGGCAAGACCCCUAGAAGGCGGUGGGGCCACAAGGAGCCUGCGCGGGGCAGGGGCCGAGCUUAGCGCGCCCGGGUCCCUUUGAAGUGAGCGCACUGCACUCUGGCAGUGACUCGGCGGGGCGCGAGGGGCAGGUGUGCCAGGUGCUGCCCCGCCCGCCCCACUGAGCCGCGGACGCUCAGCGCUCCGCACCGCCAGGAGGACGCGGCUGGGCGGCGGCGCG